ACUUAAAUUGAAGAGUUUGAUCAUGGCUCAGAUUGAACGCUGGCGGCAGGCCUAACACAUGCAAGUCGAGCGGUAGCACAGAGAGCUUGCUCUCGGGGGACGAGCGGCGGACGGGUGAGUAAUGUCUGGGAAACUGCCUGAUGGAGGGGGAUAACUACUGGAAACGGUAGCUAAUACCGCAUAAUGUCGCAAGACCAAAGUGGGGGACCUUCGGGCCUCAUGCCAUCAGAUGUGCCCAGAUGGGAUUAGCUUGUAGGUGGGGUAACGGCUCACCUAGGCGACGAUCCCUAGCUGGUCUGAGAGGAUGACCAGCCACACUGGAACUGAGACACGGUCCAGACUCCUACGGGAGGCAGCAGUGGGGAAUAUUGCACAAUGGGCGCAAGCCUGAUGCAGCCAUGCCGCGUGUGUGAAGAAGGCCUUCGGGUUGUAAAGCACUUUCAGCGGGGAGGAAGGCGGUGAGGUUAAUAACCUCAUCGAUUGACGUUACCCGCAGAAGAAGCACCGGCUAACUCCGUGCCAGCAGCCGCGGUAAUACGGAGGGUGCAAGCGUUAAUCGGA
This 561-nucleotide ribosomal RNA is filed under the name Klebsiella pneumoniae. RNAcentral's name for it is "bacterial SSU rRNA". It matches the Rfam family "Bacterial small subunit ribosomal RNA", at positions 1 to 549 of the family's 1533-position model. Lineage: Bacteria; Pseudomonadati; Pseudomonadota; Gammaproteobacteria; Enterobacterales; Enterobacteriaceae. The record is from RNAcentral.